ACGAAUUGAGAAAUAAAACCUAUUUUUUUGAAAAAAUAUCAAUGUCAAACCUAAAAAUUAAAGAAUUGAAUUAAUUCAAUUCAGCUUAAAUUUUCAAUAGUUAUACCUAUCCUUAUCUUGAACUACAGUAUUUGUUUUUUCAUUUAUGAUUUAAUUGCUACAAAUUGAGAAACCAAACCAAAAAUUUUGAAAAAAUAUCAACGCUGACCUAAAAACUAAAGAAUCGAAUUAA
This 232-nucleotide long non-coding RNA is filed under the name Solanum tuberosum (potato). RNAcentral's name for it is "long non-coding RNA (STUB_LNC001105)". Lineage: Eukaryota; Viridiplantae; Streptophyta; Magnoliopsida; Solanales; Solanaceae. The record is from RNAcentral.